UCCCACCUGGUGCCUGUUCGCUCAAGUUUCCUUUGCCCACCCGUCCUGGGUCUCUGGGCUGCAGGCAGAGCAGCUCCCAAGCUUCUCCAAGUUCACUGGCCCCUCUUCCCACCUUAAAACCAGCUGCAUCAGCAGAAGAGAUUAUGCCAGGUAUUAAAAGCCCGCCAGGGGGCGGGGGUGGGGUGGGGUAGGAUUGCCAGGCCAGCAUGCUAGAGGCCCAGGCACCUGCAGGGACACCAGGAACAGCUGUCCACCAGCUGGAAGGGCCACUGCUCCCCUACAUGUGCCCAAAACCUGACCUUCCCUGUGCCUCUAGCUGAAGUUUGCUCCAGUCCAGGCUCACAAGGCAGUGGUCUGUGGUCAGCUAUGCAUGGGGCUUGGGAUGCUAGGAUUGUGGUGGAAGUGAGGGAAAGAUUUAGGGCUGAGCCAGGUGAGGGGACACUGGAGAAUUUUCACAGCUGGGCUGAUCCUGGAGCAGGAGUGAGAGCAGUGGUGGGAUGUGCAGGAUGGGCUGGAGGGACCUGCAGACCUCUCUGGAUGGAUGAUGCUCCAGCACCCGCUCAGGGUGAAGACAAGCAGGGUUCAGGAUGAAGACCUCUCACCUAAGCAGCAAGGGUCGACCCUGCCCCUCUCCCUGCCCUGUCCCCUGAAGCUGCUAGUCAGUUGCAGCGUGAGUACUGGGGCAGAAACUGUCCUCUCCGGAGAAGUGCUCACACUGCAGGGGACACUGCUGGGGGUUCAGGGGAGAAUGGGACCCUCACCCCCGUGAGUAACUAGGGAUCAGUAACUAGGUAGCCGCCUUCCUGCAGCAGGCCACCCUCUGGCCCCUGCUUCUUAGCUGCAACCUCUGCAAGGUCCUGGCCCAUAUAGGUGUGACCUGUGAGGAGGUUAAAGGAAAGGUACCUUAGCCCCUGGCUGGGGCUCUCUCUCUGAAGUGCACCUGUAGUCCCAGCUCCUCGAGGCUGAGGCAAGAGGAUCACCUGAGCCCAAAAGUUUGAG
Molecule: long non-coding RNA, 999 nt
Filed under: Homo sapiens (human)
Lineage: Eukaryota; Metazoa; Chordata; Mammalia; Primates; Hominidae
Description: non-protein coding lnc-RHOD-2:1
Source: RNAcentral